This 716-nucleotide ribosomal RNA is filed under the name Listeria seeligeri. Its description in RNAcentral is "bacterial SSU rRNA". It matches the Rfam family "Bacterial small subunit ribosomal RNA", at positions 1 to 698 of the family's 1533-position model. Lineage: Bacteria; Bacillati; Bacillota; Bacilli; Caryophanales; Listeriaceae. The record is from RNAcentral.
UUUAAAGAGAGUUUGAUCCUGGCUCAGGACGAACGCUGGCGGCGUGCCUAAUACAUGCAAGUCGAACGAACGGAGGAAGAGCUUGCUCUUCCAAAGUUAGUGGCGGACGGGUGAGUAACACGUGGGCAACCUGCCUGUAAGUUGGGGAUAACUCCGGGAAACCGGGGCUAAUACCGAAUGAUAAGGAGUGACGCAUGUCACUGCUUUGAAAGAUGGUUUCGGCUAUCGCUUACAGAUGGGCCCGCGGUGCAUUAGCUAGUUGGUAGGGUAAAGGCCUACCAAGGCAACGAUGCAUAGCCGACCUGAGAGGGUGAUCGGCCACACUGGGACUGAGACACGGCCCAGACUCCUACGGGAGGCAGCAGUAGGGAAUCUUCCGCAAUGGACGAAAGUCUGACGGAGCAACGCCGCGUGUAUGAAGAAGGUUUUCGGAUCGUAAAGUACUGUUGUUAGAGAAGAACAAGGAUAAGAGUAACUGCUUGUCCCUUGACGGUAUCUAACCAGAAAGCCACGGCUAACUACGUGCCAGCAGCCGCGGUAAUACGUAGGUGGCAAGCGUUGUCCGGAUUUAUUGGGCGUAAAGCGCGCGCAGGCGGUCUUUUAAGUCUGAUGUGAAAGCCCCCGGCUUAACCGGGGAGGGUCAUUGGAAACUGGAAGACUGGAGUGCAGAAGAGGAGAGUGGAAUUCCACGUGUAGCGGUGAAAUGCGUAGAUAUG